GUGUACACAAGAUAGAGCUCACAUCAAGUUUUUAUAAACUUUACAAUUAAAUCCACCUUCAAAAGUUAUUUUCAUAAACUUUAUCCGUUUUAGUCUAUUAAAUGUAACCCACCUCUGUCUUUUAUAUAAGCUGCACCUUUACUUGAAGUCAAUGAUACUAAUCAUGAAUGAAAGUUUUCUGAAGAAACUGACUGACAACAGCGGUAUACAAACUGAGUACAAAUAAAAGUAGAGUUAAAUCGUGGAUCAUCGUUUAUAGGGCAGGUUCCUCUAAAUGGCUAUCUUGCCGCCAAAUCCGUUAAAUUUCAUAAUAACUACUAUUCCAAAAUAUUUUACUUAUAAGUA
Molecule: ribosomal RNA, 345 nt
Filed under: Armatobalanus sp. 1 MM-2014
Lineage: Eukaryota; Metazoa; Arthropoda; Thecostraca; Balanomorpha; Balanidae
Description: partial 12S ribosomal RNA
Source: RNAcentral